GUGCUUGGCCUCAGCAGCACAUAUACUAAAAUUGGAACGAUACAGAGAAGAUUAACCUGGCCCAUUUGCAAGGAUGUUAGAGCAGGGCAAAAGCUAAGUGUGGAU
This is a small nuclear RNA of Lacerta agilis (Sand lizard), 105 nucleotides long. NCBI's taxonomy places the organism in Eukaryota, Metazoa, Chordata, Lepidosauria, Squamata, Lacertidae. The record is from RefSeq and is a predicted model, not a curated record.